RNAcentral lists this ribosomal RNA (425 nucleotides) under Acanthamoeba sp. RNAcentral describes it as "SSU rRNA". It matches the Rfam family "Eukaryotic small subunit ribosomal RNA", at positions 777 to 1096 of the family's 1831-position model. The record is from RNAcentral. Lineage: Eukaryota; Discosea; Longamoebia; Acanthamoebidae.
AAAGCAGGCAGACCAUUUCUUCUGCCACCGAAUACAUUAGCAUGGGAUAAUGGAAUAGGACCCUGUCCUCCUAUUUUGCGUGUUGGUUUUCGAGGACCGGGUAAUGAUUAAUAGGGAUAGUUGGGGGCAUUAAUAUUUAAUUGUCAGAGGUGAAAUUCUUGGAUUUAUGAAAGAUUGACUUCUGCGAAAGCAUCUGCCAAGGAUGUUUUCAUUAAUCAAGAACGAAAGUUAGGGGAUCGAAGACGAUCAGAUACCGUCGUAGUCUUAACCAUAAACGAUGCCGACCAGCGAUUAGGAGACGUUGAAUACAAAACACCACCGUCGGGUCGGCCGUCCUUGGCCGUCGUGCGCGGCGACGCGCGCGGCGGCGAGGGCGGUGUCUGCCCGACGGCCCGGUGAAUGACUCCCCUAGCAGCUUGUGAGAA